CGCCCUUUUCCGGUUGAUCCUGCCGGACCCGACUGCUAUCGGAUUGAGAUUUAGCCAUGCGAGUCGAACGUCCCCCUGUUGCGGGGGGCGUGGCGUACGGCUCAGUAACACGUAGUCAACCUGCCCUCGAGACGUGGACAACCCCGGGAAACUGGGAUCAAUUCCACGAUAGGUCACCUCAUCUGGAAGGAGAGGUGGCUCAAAGGGGUGCGCGAGCUUCUUUCGUGCAUCUGCUCGAGGAUGGGACUGCGACCGAUCAGGCUGUUGGCGGGGUAAUGGCCCACCAAACCUGUAACCGGUACGGGCCUUGAGAGAGGGGGCCCGGAGAUGGACACUGAGAGAAGGGUCCAGGUCCUACGGGGCGCAGCAGGCGCGAAACCUUCGCAAUGCGCGAAAGCGUGACGAGGUUAAUCCGAGUGAUCCCCGCUGAGGGGAUCUUUUGUCGGCUGUAAAAAGGCCGGUGAAUAAGGGGAGGGCAAGUCUGGUGUCAGCCGCCGCGGUAAUACCAGCUCCUCGAGUGGUCGGGGCGAUUAUUGGGCCUAAAGCAUCCGUAGCCUGUUCUGUAGGUCCUCUGUUAAAUCCAACGGCUUAACCGUUGGCAGGCAGAGGAUACCGCAGGACUAGGAGGCGGGAGAGGUGGGCGGUACUCCACGUGUAGGGGUAAAAUCCUUUGAUCCGUGGAAGACCACCAGUGGCGAAGGCGGCCCACCAGAACGCGCUCGACGGUGAGGGAUGAAAGCUGGGGGAGCGAACCGGAUUAGAUACCCGGGUAGUCCCAGCCGUAAACGAUGCGAGCUAGAUGAUCCAGUCGCAAAUCGCGACUGGAGUGUCGCAGGGAAGCCGUUAAGCUCGCCGCCUGGGGAGUACGGUCGCAAGACUGAAACUUAAAGGAAUUGGCGGGGGAGCACCACAAGGGGUGAAGCCUGCGGUUCAAUUGGAGUCAACGCCAGGAAACUUACCAGGAGAGACAGCAGGUUGAGGGUCAAGCUGAAGACUUUACCUGACGAGCUGAGAGGAGGUGCAUGGCCGUCGCCAGCUCGUGCCGUGAGGCGUCCUGUUAAGUCAGGCAACGAGCGAGACCCAAAGGGCGAA
This 1092-nucleotide ribosomal RNA is filed under the name uncultured Nitrososphaerota archaeon. Its description in RNAcentral is "bacterial SSU rRNA". It matches the Rfam family "Archaeal small subunit ribosomal RNA", at positions 1 to 1063 of the family's 1478-position model. Lineage: Archaea; Thermoproteati; Nitrososphaerota. The record is from RNAcentral.